UUGUAAACAUGUCCAUAAGUCAUAUCAUGCAAUUCAACCAUACACUGAUUUCAACAGUAUGUAGGACGUUCACCAUACACAUCUUCUUUACAGGCAUAUCGGUAAUUCGUUUUCAUCUCAGCAUAGGAAUUAGUUAUGCAUGUUGCAUACUGUGGUUUAUCGUACCUGUCCAACUGUACACAAUCGUAUAUCCCGCUUGGUUCAUAAUCCGGAUUACAGUGCUGCAAACCAGUGCAUAGAGUUAUUAAACCUAAUAUAGAAAUUGCUCUGCACACUUGUUGUACUAUAUUCAUGACUUUAAAAACUGCUACCACAAGAUGAACAUUUAAC
Molecule: long non-coding RNA, 330 nt
Filed under: Mytilus galloprovincialis (Mediterranean mussel)
Lineage: Eukaryota; Metazoa; Mollusca; Bivalvia; Mytilida; Mytilidae
Source: RNAcentral